RNAcentral lists this long non-coding RNA (354 nucleotides) under Fukomys damarensis (Damara mole-rat). Its description in RNAcentral is "lncRNA (ENSFDAG00000022835.1)". Lineage: Eukaryota; Metazoa; Chordata; Mammalia; Rodentia; Bathyergidae. The record is from RNAcentral.
AAAUUACAGAGCUCUCUUUGUUCCCCAUAUCUUGGCUGCAGGGAGGAAAAAGCUGAGCAGCGACGUGAUGCGGAACUUCUUUACCUUGGCCAAGUCUCUGGGUUUCCGCCAUGAAUACAUCGACUUCACUAUACCAGUUGCUGGAUGCAGCAUUGACUACCUUGACUGAAUAGGCAGCGCCCCCUGUCUCUACGCUGUGUUCCCCCAUCGCUUCAGCCCGAGGUGCCAUCUGGUUGACCCACCUGCCAGAGUGUCAGUGAGAGAGCUGGAAGACACUUCCUACAGCAAGGUGCUGCCCACCAUUCCCUUCUGAUGAGUCCAAUUUUUCUUUAAAUAAACCCUUGCUACUGAGCC